This 392-nucleotide ribosomal RNA is filed under the name Rayllianassa cf. amboinensis NHMW 25915. Its description in RNAcentral is "partial small subunit ribosomal RNA". The record is from RNAcentral. Lineage: Eukaryota; Metazoa; Arthropoda; Malacostraca; Decapoda; Callianassidae.
AUUUUAGCCUUAAUCUUUCUUACCGAAUUAUUAAAAGUUAUAUCCUCUAAAUUUAAAGGAUUUGGCGGUGAUUUAGUCCAGUCAGAGGAACCUGUGCUUUAAACGAUAAACCACGCAAAAUCUUACCUAUUUUUAGUUUGUAUACCGUCAUUAUUAGAUAACUUUAAAAAAAUAAGUUAUUAAAAUAAGAUUCUCUUAGUAUAUUAGAUCAAGGUGCAGCUUAUAUUUAGGUCCUUCAUGGGUUACAUUAAAAUUUAUUUAUACGCACAUGAGUCUUAAAUAAUUCAUUUAAGGAGGAUUUGAUAGUAAAUUAAGUUUAAUAAGCUAUUUUGAUAAAGGAUCUAAAUUAUGUACAUAUCGCCCGUCACUUUCAUUUUCAAAUGAAAUAAGUC